RNAcentral lists this non-coding RNA (101 nucleotides) under unclassified sequences. Its description in RNAcentral is "DUF3577 RNA". It matches the Rfam family "DUF3577 RNA". The record is from RNAcentral.
CGAUUGGAUAAACGUGAGCAAUCACGCAAAACUCGCCUGUAAUCCCGGCAUCAUCACACCUGUGAUGUGGCGACUGCUCUUGCUGCUGCGGCAGUGAUUUU